Non-coding RNA from Astyanax mexicanus (Mexican tetra), 46 nucleotides. Lineage: Eukaryota; Metazoa; Chordata; Actinopteri; Characiformes; Acestrorhamphidae. The record is from Rfam.
UUAAAGGAUUUACUUAAAUCCACAUUAAAUCCUCAAAUUGCAUUAU